This is a long non-coding RNA of Girardinichthys multiradiatus, 1466 nucleotides long. RefSeq lists it as uncharacterized. The record is from RefSeq and is a predicted model, not a curated record. The transcript has 4 exons. Lineage: Eukaryota; Metazoa; Chordata; Actinopteri; Cyprinodontiformes; Goodeidae.
CGGCAAUGAGAGAGUGAGACUGGAGUGCCGCAACUGCCUGCGAUGCGCGCUGGACGGACGCUGAGCCUGAGGGGCACCGCUGCCGCCGCGCGGCGGGGACCUAUCGCUGACGUCAACGGCUUCACAAGACCUGCAGUUUUCAGAUGGUGCUGGAGUUUCUCAGGUGUGCUGGUGACAGGUGCAACUGAUCUGAUGAUUGCACGGAGGAGUUCUUAAGCAGGAGGCUGUCAGCACUUCGAUGCCAGAGUGUUUGUCUUCAGUGGUAACAAGCUCAGCCACUUCUAAGCUAUGCUUUGUUUUUGUUACAAGCUGACUUUGUGUAUUUUCCUUCGCAAGCUAAAACAUGAAUCUUUGAUUACCUUGCUGAACACUGACUUCGGUUCCAGAAGUUUCUGGACGAUCAAGAUUACUUACGUUUUAAGGACUGCGUUUCCUGACUCCUGCCAUUCAUCUGGCCUAGGAUCAAGCUGGCAGCUUCCUGUUUUCUCUUCCGUCUUCUGAACCAAGGCAUUAGCGUACCCUGUCCACCCUCCAACGCAAGUACCUGAACAUUGAAUUAACUCCUGGUCCCACUAAGCUCGCUCAACAGCAUCAGUGAAACCAUCUGGACUACUACUCUUCGUAAACCUGGUCCCUGAAUCCCUCUACCCCUGGUGACCUGACUGCACUUAUUUAGUAAUCCAUUUUCCUGAUUACUAUAGUUACCUUUCGUUAGUUCUGCAACAUCAUAGUUCUUUGUUUCACCAGUUCUCUUCCCCCUCUUUCCAUACGGUUGGCGAUUCACCUGUUCACGUUCCUGAUUUUGCUAUCAUUGAAGAAAUAUUAUCAGGACCAGGGGCCUUUAGUUUUCCCAGUAAUUAAACAGGAAACGAGGAUGGAAAUACAUGCAACAAAUGUCACCGGGGCUCGAACUCAGGACAGCCAUGUCAAGGAUUAAGGCCUCUGUAUAUGGGUUGCACGCUUAGCCCCCUACACCACCAGUGCUGCACCCUGAUUUCUGCAACUCUUUCGUGAACUUUCACUUGAUAAAGUUUCAGAAAUGGCAACAGUUAAAAUCAGCUGGAAACAUGAGGCCAUAUCAAGAACUCAGAGCUACGUUCACCAUGCGUCUUUUAAUGUGCUGCAUUAAUUCAGUUAUUUUAUACUUCUUUGGACAGAUGUUUUACUGCUUGAAGUGUCAUUACAACAUCUUAAGUGUAAACAUUGAUUCAUGUCUAUGAAUCCGUUUUAUUUUAUAUGCAACAAAUCAUACAAAUGAGCCACAAGGACCUGGAAGGAUGAACGAAUGGCAGGUACUAAUUUGCAGUUAUAGAGGUGGUAAAUUAGAGUGAUGAACAGCUUGUUUGCAAGCUCUGCAUGAUGAUUUGUACUGUUUAACAGGCCCAGUGAAUCUUCUUUAAUUGUUUAUGCAACCUCACUUUAUUGACUCCAAUCACAUUAAUGAGCUAGGUCAUAAAUUUGAAACA